GACGAACGCUGGCGGCGUGCCUAACACAUGCAAGUCGAGCGGGGUCCAUCCAGUGGCAACACUGGGGAAGACCUAGCGGCGAACGGGUGAGUAACACGUGAGGAACCUGCCCCCGAAGACCGGGGAUAACCCCGAGGAAACUCGAGCUAAUACCGGAUACCCCCACGAGAUCGCAUGGUCUUGUGAGGAAAUGUCUUUUCGCUUCGGGGAGGGCCUCGCGGCCUAUCAGCUAGUUGGGCGGGGUAACGGCCCACCAAGGCAUCGGACGGGUAGCUGGUCUGAGAGGACGAUCAGCCACACGUGGGACUGAGACACGGCCCAGACUCCGUACGGGGAGGCAGCAGGUGGGGAAUCUUGCGCAAGUGGGCGAAAGCCUGACGCAGCAACGCCGC
Molecule: ribosomal RNA, 392 nt
Filed under: uncultured bacterium
Lineage: Bacteria
Description: bacterial SSU rRNA
Rfam family: Bacterial small subunit ribosomal RNA
Source: RNAcentral